This 72-nucleotide transfer RNA is filed under the name Handeliodendron bodinieri. RNAcentral's name for it is "tRNA-Lys". Lineage: Eukaryota; Viridiplantae; Streptophyta; Magnoliopsida; Sapindales; Sapindaceae. The record is from RNAcentral.
UGGGUUGCCCGGGACUCGAACCUGGAACUAGUCGGUUAAAAGCGGAGUACUCUACCGUUGAGUUAGCAACCC